This 397-nucleotide ribosomal RNA is filed under the name uncultured bacterium. RNAcentral's name for it is "partial 16S ribosomal RNA". It matches the Rfam family "Bacterial small subunit ribosomal RNA", at positions 523 to 918 of the family's 1533-position model. The record is from RNAcentral.
AUACGUAGGGGGCGAGCGUUGUCCGGAAUGAUUGGGCGUAAAGGGCGCGUAGGCGGCCCGGUAAGUCUGGAGUGAAAGUCCUGUUUUUAAGAUGGGAAUUGCUUUGGAUACUGUCGGGCUUGAGUGCAGGAGAGGUAAGUGGAAUUCCCAGUGUAGCGGUGAAAUGCGUAGAGAUUGGGAGGAACACCAGUGGCGAAGGCGACUUACUGGACUGUAACUGACGCUGAGGCGCGAAAGUGUGGGGAGCAAACAGGAUUAGAUACCCUGGUAGUCCACACUGUAAACGAUGAAUGCUAGGUGUAGGGGGUAUCGACCCCUUCUGUGCCGCAGUCAACACGAUAAGCAUUCCGCCUGGGGAGUACGGCCGCAAGGUUGAAACUUAAAGGAAUUGACGGGG